UUUUUUCAGGGUAUGAUGUGAUUGCUCAAGCUCAGUCAGGUACUGGCAAGACAGCCACAUUUGCUAUUUCCAUCCUGCAACAGUUGGAGAUUGAGUUCAAGGAGACCCAAGCAUCAGUAUUGGCCCCCACCAGAGAGCUGGCUCAACAGAUCCAAAAGGUAAUUCUGGCACUUGGAGACUAUAUGGGAGCAACUUGUCAUGCCUGCAUUGGUGGAACAAAUGUUCGAAAUGAAAUGCAAAAACUGCAGGCUGAAGCACCACAUAUUGUUGUUGGUACACCGGGAGAGUGUUUGAUAUGUUAAACAGAAGACAUCUUUCUCCAAAAUUGAUCAAAAUGUUUGUUUUGGAUGAAGCAGAUGAAAUGUUGAGCCAUGGGUUUAAGGAUCAAAUCUAUGAGAUUUUCCAAACACUAAACACAAGUAUUCAGGUUGUGUUGCUUUCUGCCACAAUGCCCAACGGAUGUGUUGGAAGUGACCAAAAAAUUUAUGAGAGAUCCCGUUCGAAUUCUGGUGAAAAAGGAAGAAUUGACCCUUGAAGGAAUCAAACAGUUUUAUAUUAAUGUUGAGAGAGAGGAAUGGAAGUUGGAUACACUUUGUGACUUGUACAAGACACUGACCAUUAUGCAGGCUGUUAUUUUUCUCAAUACGAGGCGCAAGGUGGACUGGCUGGCUGAGAAAAUGCAUGCCAGAGACUUCACAGUUUCUGCUCUGCAUGGUGACGUGGACCAGAAGGAGAGAGAUGUUAUCAUGAGGAAAUUCCAGUCAGGGUCAAGUCAUGUUCUGAUCACUACUGACUUGUUGGUUCAUGGGAAUGAUGUGCAACAAGUGUCUUUGGUUAUAAAUUAUGAUCUACCUACCAAUCGUGAAAACUAUUUUCACAGGAGUCAAUAGCAGCAGUCGAUGACGAGAUGGCACUCAGAAAUGGUGCUGACAUAAGUUAGGACGUGGAAUCAUAAGUGAAACAGCACACUGUUUGAAUAAAGAGUGAGUCGACUUGGCAGAGGGGGUCGAUUUGGGAGGAAAGGUGUGGCUAUAAAUUUUGUUACUGAAGAAGACAAGAGGAUUCUUCAUGACAUUGAGACUUUCUACAAUACUGCAGUGGAGGGGAUGUCCAUGAAUGUGGCUGACCUUAUUUAAUUCCUGGGAUGAGAGUUUUGGAUGCAGUGCUCGCUGUUGCUGAAUAGGUGAUCACAACGUGCAUUGUACUUCUUUCUUCAGGAAUAUUUGAAUCUUGUCUCAAUGCUCAUAACGGAUCAGAAAUACAGAUUUUGAUAGCAAAGCAACAUUAGUCGCGAGCUCUUGUGAGGAAAGUCAUUGGCUUUAUCCUCUUUAGAGUUAGACUGUUGGGGUGGGUAUAAAAGAUGGGGUCUGUAAAAUCUUUCUUUCUUAGAAAUUUAUUUCCUAGUUCUGUAGAAAUGGUUGUAUUAGAUGUUCUCUAUCAUUUAAUAAUAUACUUGU
This is a non-coding RNA of Macaca mulatta (Rhesus monkey), 1457 nucleotides long. The record is from RefSeq and is a predicted model, not a curated record. Lineage: Eukaryota; Metazoa; Chordata; Mammalia; Primates; Cercopithecidae.